GAUGAACGCUGGCGGCGUGCCUAAUACAUGCAAGUCGAGCGAACAGGCGAGGAGCUUGCUCCUCUGACGUUAGCGGCGGAUGGGUGAGUAACACGUGGAUAACCUACCUAUAAGACUGGGAUAACUUCGGGAAACCGGAGCUAAUACCGGAUAAUAUAUUGAACCGCAUGGUUCAAUAGUGAAAGACGGUUUUGCUGUCACUUAUAGAUGGAUCCGCGCCGCAUUAGCGAGUUGGUAAGGUAACGGCUUACCAAGGCAACGAUGCGUAGCCGACCUGAGAGGGUGAUCGGCCACACUGGAACUGAGACACGGACCAGACUCCUACGGGAGGCAGCAGUAGGGAAUGUUCCGCAAUGGGCGAAAGCAUGACGGAGCAACGCCGCGUGAGUGAUGAAGGUCUUCGGAUCGUAAAACUCUGUUAUUAGGGAAGAACAAAUGUGUAAGUAACUAUGCACGUCUUGACGGUACCUAAUCAGAAAGCCACGGCUAACUACGUG
Molecule: ribosomal RNA, 497 nt
Filed under: uncultured bacterium
Lineage: Bacteria
Description: partial 16S ribosomal RNA
Rfam family: Bacterial small subunit ribosomal RNA
Source: RNAcentral